UCUCUUGAUUUGUUUUAUAUUCUUUUCCUUAUUCCAGCAAGCUGGGAAGAGCUGGGACACAGAACCUACAUUGAUUCCAGAACCAACACAAGCUCCAGUGUGACACCCUACAGAACCUCUACUGUGUCUGGAACUGACACCAGCUCCAGUGUGACACCCUACAGAACCUCUACUGUGUCUGGAACAGACACAGCCUCCAGUGUGUCACCCUACAGGACCUAUACUUUGUCUGGAAUUGGCACAACAUCCAGAGUGAUGCCCCGAGGAACCUAUACUGUUUCUGGCAGUGAUGUGCCCUCCAGUGUGUCCCCUUACAGGAUCUAUACUGUGUCUGAGAGUGAUGUACCCUCCAGUGUGACACCCUACAGGACCUAUACUGUGUCUGGAAGUGAUGUACCCUCCAGUGUGACACCCUACAGAACCUAUACUGUGUCUGAGAGUGAUGUACCCUCCAGUGUGACACCCUACAGGACCUAUACUGUGUCUGAGAGUGAUGUGCCCUCCAGUGUGACACCCUACAGGACCUAUACUGUGUCUGGCAGUGAUGUGCCCUCCAGUGUGACACCCUACAGGACCUAUACUGUGUCUGGAAGUGAUGUACCCUCCAGUGUGACACCCUACAGGACCUAUACUGUGUCUGGCAGUGAUAUGCCCUCCAGUGUGACACCCUACAGGACCUAUACUGUGUCUAAGAGUGAUGUACCCUCAAGUGUGACACCCUACAUAACCCACACUGUGUCUGGAAGCGACGUAUCCUCCGAAUCUUUUCGGCUUCCCUUUGUACCUCAAGGAACCAGUACACCUCGUGGUCCUGCUCCUGUUGCAAGCUGGGGAGAGCUGGGACACAGAACCUACAUUGAUUCUAGAACCAACACCAGCUCCAGUGUGACACCCUACAGAACCUCUACUGUGUCUGGAAGUGACACCAGCUCCAGUGUGACACCCUACAGAACCUCUACUGUGUCUGGAACAGACACAGCCUCCAGUGUGUCACCCUACAGGACCUAUACUUUGUCUGGAAUUGGCACAACAUCCAGUGUGAUGCCCCGAGGAACCUAUACUGUUUCUGGCAGUGAUGUGCCUUCCAGUGUGUACCCUUACAGGACCUAUACUGUGUCUGAGAGUGAUGUGCCCUCCAGUGUGACACCCUACAGGACCUAUACUGUGUCUGGAAGUGAUGUACCCUCCAGUGUGACACCCUACAGGACCUAUACUGUGUCUGGAAGUGAUGUACCCUCCAGUGUGACACCCUACAGGACCUAUACUGUGUCUGAGAGUGAUGUGCCCUCCAGUGUGACACCCUACAGGACCUAUACUGUGUCUGGAAGUGAUGUACCCUCCAGUGUGACACCCUACAGGACCUAUACUGUGUCUGAGAGUGAUGUGCCCUCCAGUGUGACACCCUACAGGACCUAUACUGUGUCUGGCAGUGAUGUGCCCUCCAGUGUGACACCCUACAGGACCUAUACUGUGUCUGGAAGUGAUGUACCCUCCAGUGUGACACCCUACAGGACCAAUACUGUGUCUGGCAGUGAUAUGCCCUCCAGUGUGACACCCUACAGGACCUAUACUGUGUCUAAGAGUGAUGUACCCUCAAGUGUGACACCCUACAUAACCCACACUGUGUCUGGAAGCGACGUAUCCUCCGAAUCUUUUCGGCUUCCCUUUGUACCUCAAGGAACCAGUACACCUCGUGGUCCUGCUCCUGUUGGUAAGUCUGCUUUUGAAGCAAUUGCACUCACUUGGAU
Molecule: long non-coding RNA, 1748 nt
Organism: Taeniopygia guttata (zebra finch)
Lineage: Eukaryota; Metazoa; Chordata; Aves; Passeriformes; Estrildidae
Source: Ensembl